CAAUAGCGUAUAUUAAAGUUGUUGCAGUUAAAAGCUCGUAGUUGGAUUUCUGGCAGGAGCGACCGGUCCGCCGCAAGGUGUGCACUAGGUUGUCUCCAGUCAUCUUUGUGGGAACUGCUCUGGCAUUAGGUUGUCGGGGUUAGGGAACACAUCGUUUACUGUGAAAAAUUAAGAGUGUUUAAAGACAGGCUUAUGCCGUUGAAUACAUUAGCAUGGAAUAAUAAGAUAGGACUUUGGUGGUCUAUUUUGUUUGGUUUGUCACACCAAGGUAAUGAUUAAUAGGGAUAGUUGGGGGUAGUUCGUAUUUAAUUUAGUUCAGAGGUGGAAAUUACUUGGAUUUAUUGAAAGAACGAACUAACUGCGAAAGACAUUUACCUAAAGAAUGUUUUCUAUUAAUUCAAGAACG
RNAcentral lists this ribosomal RNA (406 nucleotides) under uncultured eukaryote. Its description in RNAcentral is "bacterial SSU rRNA". It matches the Rfam family "Eukaryotic small subunit ribosomal RNA", at positions 592 to 985 of the family's 1831-position model. The record is from RNAcentral.